Molecule: ribosomal RNA, 546 nt
Filed under: Ostracoberyx dorygenys
Lineage: Eukaryota; Metazoa; Chordata; Actinopteri; Acropomatiformes; Ostracoberycidae
Description: partial 16S ribosomal RNA
Rfam family: Bacterial large subunit ribosomal RNA
Source: RNAcentral
UAAGAGGUCCCGCCUGCCCUGUGACUAUAAGUUUAACGGCCGCGGUAUUUUAACCGUGCAAAGGUAGCGCAAUCACUUGUCUUUUAAAUGGAGACCUGUAUGAAUGGCAACACGAGGGCUUAACUGUCUCCUUUUUCAAGUCAAUGAAAUUGAUCUCCCCGUGCAGAAGCGGGGAUGAGCUCAUAAGACGAGAAGACCCUAUGGAGCUUUAGACACUAAGACAGAUCAUAUUGAAACCCUCCUAAACACAAGGAUUAGACUAAAUGAACCCUGCCCUAAUGUCUUUGGUUGGGGCGACCCCGGGGAAACAUAAAACCCCCGAGUGGAAUGGGAGCACUAUCCUCCUACAACCAAGAGCUUCCGCUCUAACAAGCAGAAAAUCUGACCAAUAAAGAUCCGGCAGUGCCGAUCAGCGGACCAAGUUACCCUAGGGAUAACAGCGCAAUCCCCUUUUAGAGCCCGUAUCGACAAGGGGGUUUACGACCUCGAUGUUGGAUCAGGACAUCCUAAUGGUGCAACCGCUAUUAAGGGUUCGUUUGUUCAACG